CAGUCGCCGCGGGAAUACAGAGGGGGCUAGCGUUGUUCGGAAUCACUGGGCGUAAAGGGUGCGUAGGCGGUUUAUCAAGUCAGAGGUGAAAGCCCGGGGCUCAACCCCGGAACUGCCUUUGAAACUAGUAGACUUGAAUCUUGGAGAGGUCAGUGGAAUUCCGAGUGUAGAGGUGAAAUUCGUAGAUAUUCGGAAGAACACCAGUGGCGAAGGCGACUGACUGGACAAGUAUUGACGCUGAGGUGCGAAAGCGUGGGGAGCAAACAGGAUUAGAUACCCCCGUAGUCCCUGUCUCUUAUAA
This 301-nucleotide ribosomal RNA is filed under the name uncultured bacterium. RNAcentral describes it as "partial 16S ribosomal RNA". It matches the Rfam family "Bacterial small subunit ribosomal RNA", at positions 509 to 809 of the family's 1533-position model. The record is from RNAcentral.